RNAcentral lists this unclassified non-coding RNA (253 nucleotides) under uncultured Eubacteriales bacterium. RNAcentral's name for it is "contains 16S-23S intergenic spacer region". It matches the Rfam family "Bacterial small subunit ribosomal RNA", at positions 524 to 776 of the family's 1533-position model. The record is from RNAcentral. Lineage: Bacteria; Bacillati; Bacillota; Clostridia; Eubacteriales.
UACGUAGGAUGCAAGCGUUAUCCGGAAUGACUGGGCGUAAAGGGUGCGUAGGCGGUUUGCCAAGUCGGUAGCGUAAUCACGGGGCUCAACUCCGUAACUACUACCAAAACUGGUAGGCUUGAGUGCGGCAGGGGUAUGUGGAAUUCCUAGUGUAGCGGUGGAAUGCGUAGAUAUUAGGAGGAACACCGGUGGCGAAAGCGACAUACUGGGCCGUAACUGACGCUGAGGCACGAAAGCGUGGGGAGCAAACAGG